GCACUAAUGGUCUAGUGGUAUGAUGAAACGUUGCCAUCGUUUCGACCGGGGUUCGAUUCCCCGUUAGUGCA
Non-coding RNA from Cryptosporidium ubiquitum, 71 nucleotides. The record is from Rfam. Lineage: Eukaryota; Apicomplexa; Conoidasida; Eucoccidiorida; Cryptosporidiidae.